This 492-nucleotide ribosomal RNA is filed under the name uncultured bacterium. RNAcentral's name for it is "partial 16S ribosomal RNA". It matches the Rfam family "Bacterial small subunit ribosomal RNA", at positions 29 to 507 of the family's 1533-position model. The record is from RNAcentral.
AGUGAACGCUGGCGGUAGGCCUAACACAUGCAAGUCGAACGGCAGCACAGUAAGAGCUUGCUCUUACGGGUGGCGAGUGGCGGACGGGUGAGGAAUACAUCGGAAUCUACUUUUUCGUGGGGGAUAACGUAGGGAAACUUACGCUAAUACCGCAUCCGACCUACGGGUGAAAGCAGGGGAUCUUCGCACCUUGCGCGAUUGAAUGAGCCGAUGUCGGAUUAGCUAGUUGGCGGGGUAAAGGCCCACCAAGUCGACGAUCCGUAGCUUGUCUGAGAGGAUGAUCAGCCACACUGGAACGGAGACACGGUCCAGACUCCUACGGGAGGCAGCAGUGGGGAAUAUUGGACAAUGGGCGCAAGCCUGAUCCAGCCAUACCGCGUGGGUGAAGAAGGCCUUCGGGUUGUGAAGCCCUUUUGUUGGGAAAGAAAAGCAGCAGGUUAAUACCCCGCUGUUCUGACGGUACCCAAAGAAUAAGCACCGGCUAACUUCGUG